Molecule: ribosomal RNA, 402 nt
Filed under: Triticum aestivum (bread wheat)
Lineage: Eukaryota; Viridiplantae; Streptophyta; Magnoliopsida; Poales; Poaceae
Description: partial small subunit ribosomal RNA
Source: RNAcentral
AUGGUAUUUAUGGUUGAUGCUAGUGGUCAUGUUAUGAGUAGUGUUCUACUUGUGAUAUUCAUGCUCGUCAUUAUGCCAUGCUCAGUUGGAUAUGAUUCAUUGUUGGUAUGGAUGAUAGUUAUGUUGAACCCUCAUGCUUAUGUUGAUAUCAUGUUCAUGCAUUGUAAUUGCUGUCGGCGUUCUAGGAACGGGGGUCCCCAGACUUGCCUGCCUGCGGCCCACAGCGUGGCCAAGCCAGCAGGCUGUGCGGCCCUUCUUCAUCAACAAGGCAUCCAGGACCCUCGCGAGGGUCCAAGCCUCGCGAGACGGACGACACAAGACCUCCUCUGGAGUAGCCUAACCAGGCAGGCUCGCGAGGAGCGGAGAUAUCAAGGCAGGCAAAACCUCACGAGGCCCUCGUGA